RNAcentral lists this ribosomal RNA (730 nucleotides) under uncultured Chryseobacterium sp. RNAcentral's name for it is "bacterial SSU rRNA". It matches the Rfam family "Bacterial small subunit ribosomal RNA", at positions 8 to 738 of the family's 1533-position model. The record is from RNAcentral. Lineage: Bacteria; Pseudomonadati; Bacteroidota; Flavobacteriia; Flavobacteriales; Weeksellaceae.
AGAGUUUGAUCCUGGCUCAGGAUGAACGCUAGCGGGAGGCCUAACACAUGCAAGCCGAGCGGUAGAGUAUCUUCGGAUACUUGAGAGCGGCGCACGGGUGCGGAACACGUGUGCAACCUGCCUUUAUCUGGGGGAUAGCCUUUCGAAAGGAAGAUUAAUACCCCAUAAUAUAUUUGAUGGCAUCAUUAGAUAUUGAAAACUCCGGUGGAUAGAGAUGGGCACGCGCAAGAUUAGUUAGUUGGUGAGGUAACGGCUCACCAAGGCGAUGAUCUUUAGGGGGCCUGAGAGGGUGAUCCCCCACACUGGUACUGAGACACGGACCAGACUCCUACGGGAGGCAGCAGUGAGGAAUAUUGGACAAUGGGUUAGCGCCUGAUCCAGCCAUCCCGCGUGAAGGACGACGGCCCUAUGGGUUGUAAACUUCUUUUGUAUAGGGAUAAACCUACUCUCGUGAGAGUAGCUGAAGGUACUAUACGAAUAAGCACCGGCUAACUCCGUGCCAGCAGCCGCGGUAAUACGGAGGGUGCAAGCGUUAUCCGGAUUUAUUGGGUUUAAAGGGUCCGUAGGCGGAUCUGUAAGUCAGUGGUGAAAUCUCAUAGCUUAACUAUGAAACUGCCAUUGAUACUGCAGGUCUUGAGUAAAUUUGAAGUGGCUGGAAUAAGUAGUGUAGCGGUGAAAUGCAUAGAUAUUACUUAGAACACCAAUUGCGAAGGCAGGUCACUAAGAUUAA